RNAcentral lists this ribosomal RNA (468 nucleotides) under uncultured bacterium. RNAcentral's name for it is "partial 16S ribosomal RNA". It matches the Rfam family "Bacterial small subunit ribosomal RNA", at positions 28 to 507 of the family's 1533-position model. The record is from RNAcentral.
GACGAACGCUGGCGGCGUGCUUAACACAUGCAAGUCGAACGGAAAGGCCCGGCUUUUGUGGGGUGCUCGAGUUGCGAACGGGUGAGUAACACGUGAGUAACCUGCCCUUGACUUUGGGAUAACUUCAGGAAACUGGGGGUAAUACCGGAUAGGAGCUCCUGCUGCAUGGUGGGGGUUGGAAAGUUUCGGCUGUUGGGGAUGGAAUCGCGGCGUAUCAGCUUGGUGGGUGGGUAGUGUCUUACCAAGGCUUUGACGCGUAGCCGGGCUGCGAGGGUGACCUGCCAAAAUGGGACUGAACUAAGGCCCAGACUACUACGGGAGGCAGCAGUGGGGAAUAUUGCACAAUGGGCGGAAGCCUGAUGCAGCAACGCCGCGUGCGGGAUGACGGCCUUCGGGUUGUAAACCGCUUUCGCCUGUGACGAAGCGUGAGUGACGGUAAUGGGUAAAGAAGCACCGGCUAACUACGUG